GUCAAAUUAGAAGUUGCCUCUCUACAGUCAGGCAAAGGAGAAAGUUGGAAUAAGAAAAGCACACAUCCUGUUUCAAAGACAGAGAGAGGAAGAGCCAUGGAAAUCUACAAAAGAGAGGCCUGAAAAUGAAACAAAUGGAAGCUGAGAAGCAAUCUGAUGUUGCUAUUGUUUGUGAUGGCCGAGGCAGAGGAGGGGUUGCCUGUCUUCUACUGCUCUCUGUCUUACUCCUUUUAAGAGUUGACUGCACACCUGGAAACUUUAAGAGAAUUUACGACACUGGGCCGAUGUAAAUUAUACUCUACAGAACACAAGAACUUGGGGGCAAGAUCUCAGAUAGUGAAGUAAUCUCCAAGAAAACACGGGAGCUGCCAGACACUGCGUGCCUAACAGGAUGGCUGCUAAGAUCCUCCUGAAGUGACUUCAUCACAGACACUUGUUGUUGACCAGCUAUUAGAGGACCAAAUUACUGU
RNAcentral lists this long non-coding RNA (470 nucleotides) under Cricetulus griseus (Chinese hamster). Its description in RNAcentral is "lncRNA (ENSCGRG00015029570.1)". Lineage: Eukaryota; Metazoa; Chordata; Mammalia; Rodentia; Cricetidae. The record is from RNAcentral.